UCCGGUUCAUCACCGGCAGUCUCCUUAGAGUCCCCAACUAAAUGAUGGCAACUAAGGAUAAGGGUUGCGCUCGUUACGGGACUUAACCCAACAUCUCACAACACGAGCUGACGACAGCCAUGCAGCACCUGUCUCAGAGUUCCUUUCGGCACAACCGAAUCUCUUCAGUCUUCUCUGGAUGUCAAGGGUAGGUAAGGUUCUUCGCGUUGCAUCGAAUUAAACCACAUGCUCCACCGCUUGUGCGGGCCCCCGUCAAUUCCUUUGAGUUUUAAUCUUGCGACCGUACUCCCCAGGCGGAAAACUUAUCGCGUUAGCUUCGAUACCGAACAGUCUAAGCUGCCCAACAUCUAGUUUUCAUCGUUUACAGCGUGGACUAC
RNAcentral lists this unclassified non-coding RNA (377 nucleotides) under uncultured Gammaproteobacteria bacterium. RNAcentral's name for it is "contains 16S-23S intergenic spacer region". Lineage: Bacteria; Pseudomonadati; Pseudomonadota; Gammaproteobacteria. The record is from RNAcentral.